CUUGACUGCCCCGAGCCACAGAGGCGUGCCGUCCGAUCGGUCCUGCCCAUAGGUGGCCAGCAGUGCCUGGGCUUC
Molecule: antisense RNA, 75 nt
Filed under: Streptomyces sp. S4.7
Lineage: Bacteria; Bacillati; Actinomycetota; Actinomycetes; Kitasatosporales; Streptomycetaceae
Description: ASpks TB sRNA
Rfam family: ASpks TB sRNA
Source: Rfam by way of RNAcentral